RNAcentral lists this ribosomal RNA (403 nucleotides) under uncultured bacterium. RNAcentral's name for it is "partial 16S ribosomal RNA". It matches the Rfam family "Bacterial small subunit ribosomal RNA", at positions 28 to 526 of the family's 1533-position model. The record is from RNAcentral.
GACGAACGCUGGCGGCGUGCCUAAUACAUGCAAGUCGAACGCAGUGGGGACGGGUGAGGAACAUGGGGGUAACCUCCCAUAAGAGGGGAUAACACUAGGAAACAGGUGCUAAACCGAUACAGAUGGAUGGACCCGCGUUGCAUUAGCUAGGUGGUGAGGUAACGGUUCACCAAGGCAACGAUGCAUAGCUGACAUGAGAGGGUGAUCGGCCACACGGGAACUGAGACACGGCCCAGACUCCUACGGGAGGCAGCAGUGGGGAAUCUUCGGCAAUGGACGAAAGUCUGACCGAGCCACGCCGCGUGUGUGAAGAAGGUUUUCGGAGUGUAAAGCUCUUUUGUUUGGGAAGCGGUAUCUAACCAGAAAGCCACGGCUAACUACGUGCCAGCAGCCGCGGUAAUUC